AACAUAGAAGUAAAAUUUACAUUUAGUUUCGACCUAACAAUAGGAUUAUUAUCCCAUGUUU
RNAcentral lists this transfer RNA (61 nucleotides) under Ziczacella heptapotamica. RNAcentral's name for it is "tRNA-Arg". The record is from RNAcentral. Lineage: Eukaryota; Metazoa; Arthropoda; Insecta; Hemiptera; Cicadellidae.